AACGAACGCUGGCGGCAGGCCUAACACAUGCAAGUCGAGCGAGGACUUCGGUUCUAGCGGCGGACGGGUGAGUAACGCGUGGGAAUGUGCCCUUCUCUACGGCAUAGCCCUGGGAAACUGGUAGUAAUACCGUAUACGCCCUAGUGUGGAAAGAUUUAUCGGAGAAGGAUCAGCCCGCGUUGGAUUAGGUAGUUGUUGGGGUAAUGGCCUACCAAGCCGACGAUCCAUAGCUGGUUUGAGAGGAUGAUCAGCCACACUGGGACUGAGACACGGCCCAGACUCCUACGGGAGGCAGCAGUGGGGGAUCUUAGACAAUGGGGGCAACCCUGAUCGAGCCAUGACGCGUGAGUGAUGAAGGUCUUAGGGUUGUAAAGCUCUUUCAGCUGGGAAGAUAAUGACGGUACCAGCAGAAGAAGCCCCGGCUAACUCCGUG
RNAcentral lists this ribosomal RNA (433 nucleotides) under uncultured bacterium. RNAcentral's name for it is "partial 16S ribosomal RNA". It matches the Rfam family "Bacterial small subunit ribosomal RNA", at positions 29 to 507 of the family's 1533-position model. The record is from RNAcentral.